RNAcentral lists this transfer RNA (92 nucleotides) under Mollicutes bacterium. Its description in RNAcentral is "tRNA-Ser". It matches the Rfam family "tRNA". From Rfam's summary of the family: Transfer RNA (tRNA) molecules are approximately 80 nucleotides in length. Lineage: Bacteria; Bacillati; Mycoplasmatota; Mollicutes. The record is from RNAcentral.
GGAGUAGUACUCAAGUUGGCUGAAGAGGCGCCCCUGCUAAGGGCGUAGACCGGGAAACUGGUGCGAGGGUUCAAAUCCCUCCUACUCCGCCA